This is a long non-coding RNA of Zea mays, 230 nucleotides long. RefSeq lists it as uncharacterized. NCBI's taxonomy places the organism in Eukaryota, Viridiplantae, Streptophyta, Magnoliopsida, Poales, Poaceae. The record is from RefSeq and is a predicted model, not a curated record. The transcript is spliced from 2 exons.
GAAAGGCUUCCAUUUCUCAUGUUAUGCAUGCACUGCUCCCUUGAUAUUCAGCAUUUUAAUGGAUCGAUUCAUCCAAGAACUUUGUCCGGAGAUGAUUAACGCUGCUGUCCUCGGAUGUACGGGCGCAAAAUAUGAAUAGCAGAAAAAUGAUUGCAGAUAGUUGCACGCAGUGAGAUGAUUAGCCUGUCUCAUUCCAAAGGAAGAGUUGUCCGGAGCAGAAUUUCAUCCAU